GCGGUUAGGAGCUUACACCCACCCGUGUUUACAUACUAUUGUUGCUUUGGCGGGCCGUGGCCUCCACUGCGGGCUCUGCUCGUGUGUGCCCGCCAGAGGACCAAACUCUGAAUGUUAGUGAUGUCUGAGUACUAUCUAAUAGUUAAAACUUUCAACAACGGAUCUCUUGGUUCUGGCAUCGAUGAAGAACGCAGCGAAAUGCGAUAAGUAAUGUGAAUUGCAGAAUUCAGUGAAUCAUCGAAUCUUUGAACGCACAUUGCGCCCUGUGGUAUUCCGCAGGGCAUGCCUGUUCGAGCGUCAUUUAACCACUCACGCCUAGCGUGGUAUUGGGGCACGCGGUCUCGCGGCCCUCAAAAUUAGUGGCGGCGCCGGUGGGCUCUAAGCGUAGUACAUACUCCCGCUAUAGAGUUCCCCCGGUGGCUCGCCAGAACCCCCAAUUUUUUACAGGUUGACCUCGGAUCAGGUAGGGAUACCCGCUGAACUUAAGCAUAUCAAUAAGC
Molecule: ribosomal RNA, 500 nt
Filed under: Phialocephala cf. fortinii GMU_LL_03_C8
Lineage: Eukaryota; Fungi; Ascomycota; Leotiomycetes; Helotiales; Mollisiaceae
Description: eukaryotic LSU rRNA
Rfam family: 5.8S ribosomal RNA (bases 147-300)
Source: RNAcentral